UACGUAGGGGGCGAGCGUUGUCCGGAUUUAUUGGGCGUAAAGCGCGCGUAGGCGGCGCGGUAUGUCGUGCGUGAAAUCUCCCGGCUUAACUGGGAGGGGCCGUGCGAAACUGCCGGGCUUGAGGUCGGAAGGGGAAAGUGGAAUUCCGGGUGUAGUGGUGGAAUACGUAGAUAUCCGGAGGAACACCGGUGGCGAAGGCGGCAUCCUGGACCAAUUCUGACGCUGAGGAGCGAAAGCCAGGGGAGCAAACGGG
Molecule: ribosomal RNA, 253 nt
Filed under: uncultured bacterium
Lineage: Bacteria
Description: partial 16S ribosomal RNA
Rfam family: Bacterial small subunit ribosomal RNA
Source: RNAcentral